This 345-nucleotide ribosomal RNA is filed under the name uncultured bacterium. Its description in RNAcentral is "partial 16S ribosomal RNA". It matches the Rfam family "Bacterial small subunit ribosomal RNA", at positions 338 to 681 of the family's 1533-position model. The record is from RNAcentral.
CCUACGGGAGGCAGCAGGGAGGAAUAUUGGUCAAUGGCCGAGAGGCUGAACCAGCCAAGUCGCGUGAGGGAUGACGGCCCUACGGGUUGUAAACCUCUUUUGUAGGGGAGCAAAGAGAGUCACGUGUGGCUCAUUGAGAGUACCCGAAGAAAAAGCAUCGGCUAACUCCGUGCCAGCAGCCGCGGUAAUACGGAGGAGGCGGGCGUUAUGCGGAUUUAUUGGGGUUAACGGGUGCGCAGGCGGAGGUGCAAGUCAGUGGUCAAAUUUCGGGGCUCAACCCCGUACUGCCGUUGAAACUGCAUCCCUUGAGUGCGCGACACGUCUGCGUCAUGCGUGUUGUAGCGG